GAGCUACAGACAUGUGCUCUGAUAGAUAGUAUAUCUAAGAGACUGGAACUGGGUUUAGUUUAGUAACAUAGUACCCAAAUAAUAGUGACCUACACAGAAAGUGAGGCCCAUCAGAAGUCCAGAAGAAAUUCAGGACUAGUGCCUAAGCUUAAAUAUACAAUGGCCAAGAGCUAUGUCUGCAAUUCUCUUGGCCUUUCCCUGAUCAUCUAUCACAAGAUACCUGGGGCAGCUCUAGCCAUCAUGUCCACAAUUGAUGUAAGAAGGAAACGGGAGGAAAAAAAUGAGCAAGUUAAAUGACCCUACUCCUGUUUUAAGAGGUUUUCUACAGUCCCACAUUGUAAUUUACUCUUUUAUCUCAUUUGCUAGCAUUAUGUCAUGUGAUCACUCCUAUCUACAAGAGAAGCUGAGAAGUACAGCUGGGCACUUUUACUUCCCACAAUCAAAUUAUACUUGCGGUAUGGGAGCUAUUUAUGAGAGCUUGUCUUGAAGUGCCUACAUGCAACAUCAGGAUGUUCGCUGCUAUCUGCAAACUGGACCUGGCCCGGAGACAUCUGGGAUUGGACCAAGAGAACUUUGAUAUGUGAGAAAGGUGAAAGUAGAUGUCACUUUUCAUUUAUUUCAACCCUUUCUGCCCCUCCACCAAUUCAGUCCUAUUUGCCAGGCACUUGUAGGACUCACCUUUCACCAACCCUCUUCUACACCACUUGACAGUAUAAAAUAGCCUGCUUUAACCCAUGGCAAUGACCCAAGUCACAUCCAGCUUUUCCUUGCAUGCUCGAGGCAUUAGCUGAGGAUAACAAUUGUCCCUGGCUUUCUCCCUUUCCUGCCAUACGACACCCCUAGAUCAGGAAGCAUUCUUCCCAAACACACGUCAUGUGAAACAUGCAAAGCAUCAAGAGAAACUGAGGCAAAAUGAUGACUUUUGUCUCAAAAUCUGCUCCCAUCAUCACUAUAAUGCCAGCACUUUCUGCUAGGUUUUAAGCUCUUGCUGUUUUCCAAACCACCAAGAAGUAAUUUAUAAGCAGGUUUGCUUUCAUUCAAUCCUCUAAUUACUGAAUCCCAGCUAUACUACAGGCACCAAGAAUAAGGGAGAAUUCCUUCUCUGGGGGAAGCUUACAAUCUACCAAGGUCACUACACACACACACACACCCAUAUAUCACUAAGCAAAUACACACACACAUAUGUAUGUCACUGUAUUAAUCAAGGUUCUCCAGAGGAACAAAGCUAAUGGAAAAAAUAUAUAUAUAUAUAUAUAUAUGUAAAGGAGAGUUUAGUAAGUAUUAACUCACAUGAUCACAAGGUCCCACAAUAGGCUGUCUGCAGACUGAGGAGCAAGAAAAGUCAGUCUGAGUUCCAAAACUGAAGAACUUGGAAUCCUAUGUUCGAGGGCAGGAAGCAUCCAGCACAAGAGAAAGAUGUAGGCCAGGAGGCUAGGCCCAUCUCUCUUUUCACAUUUUUCUGUCUGCUUAUAUUCUAGCCUUGCUGACAGGUGAUUAGAUUGUGCCCACCCAGAUUAAGGGUGGGUCUGCCUUUCCCAGUCCACUGACUCAAAUGUGAAUCUCCUUUGGCAACACCCUCACAGACACACCCAGGAACAAUACUUUGCAUCCUUCAAUCCAAUCAAGUUGAUACCCAGUAUUAACCAUUACAGUCACUAACACACACACACACACACACACACACACGUGUUUGCUUAGGGACACAGAUAUAUACACUGUGCUGGAAUGGUGGCGUGCACACAUGCAUAUACAGGAGCACAGAGAAGGGAUAUUUCACAGAAGUAGAGAAAUUAGAGCUGAUUUCUGCGGUAGAAGAUACAUUAUUAGCUGAAUCUUCAAAGAUACGAAAGAAUUCGUCAGGUAAAAAAGAAGAAAGAAGGCAGAGGAAAUCGUAGGAGCAAAGGCACAGAAGCAAGACAUCUAAGGGGAGAUGGGAACAGGCAGUUUUGUACUACAAGAGUGAACAUAUGAGGCUAGGAAUGAAAUGAGAUGAAGCAAGACAUACAAACCAGGACAAGGUCAUGGGAGGCCUUGUAUGCCAUGCCAAGCAACAUAGAUUUUAUUCCAUGCAGAGGAGCAGUUGAAGUGGUUUCAGCAGGGGAGCUAUAGGAUGAGAUUUAUGCUAUGUGCAGGUCACUAUGGUUCCUAAGCAGAGGAUGAAUUUAAGAGGGAAAAGGCAGAAGCAGGUGGCGGUUAGGAAGCUGUGGCAGCAAAGCAGAAAGGCAGUUAUGAGGGAGAUCAUCAUGGAGACAAAGGAAGGGGAUGGAUUCAAGAAAAUAUGUGGGAGGGAAAAACUGGCAGUAUUUGGUGACUACCCAGAUCUAUGAAGUAAAAAAGAGGUAGAAGAUUAAGAUGACUCCCAGGUUUGUGACUUCAGUGACUAUGGAUAUAAAUAUAGAAGAAAAAGUUGGCAUAAGGAGGUAAAUGGAUACUGUGCUCUGUCUUACACACAUUGCAUCUGUGACGAUGUCUAUGGGAAGAUGCUCAGUGGAUAUGUCCAGAACUGGUAUCUGGAAUCUAUAACUGAGGGAUGAGGUCAGGUCAGGAGACAGAGAUGUGUGCAUUAUUAGCCUAUAGGAGUUAUUAAAACCACAGGGUAAUAUGGGAGUCACUUUACCAAAAUGUGUUUCACAAGAGUAGCAGUAGAACCUCUGAGGGAGGGAUGAGAACUACCAUUGUUGAAAGGGAAAGCACUAUAAGAGCAGCCCAUGAAGAACAGAGCAGAGAAACAGAGCAAAGGAAGAGAAUCAGGUGAGAACUGUAGAAGCCAGGGAGGCUGAGAGUUUCAGGAAGAAUGGAUUUGUGGAAAAACAAAGCAAACUGAAUAUAUGUAUUUACCUCUUUCUUCUCAAGAACAAAACGAAGCAUCAUAAAAAUAGUUUAAGUUAUAAAUGCUUAGAGAGAAUAGAAUAGGAGAUACCCACAGAUUAGAUAUGUCAACAAAGUUUUGGAAUUUGUUAAGGAGAUGGGCAAGUGUCGCUAACUUAGCAAAUUGGAGGAAAUUAAAACAUGUGUUUACAAAAAGUUCAGGGUGAGGGUGGAAGAAUACAGAAAACAUUCUACUUAUAUAGCAUGCUUAGGAACUGGAGAGCAAGUACCUUCAAAGCUCCAAGUAUGAUUGGGCUGAAAAUGGAAAGAUAGUUAAAGUUUUUAUAAAGAAGAGUAAAAAUAGCCAGCCACAGUGGCUUAUGCCUAUAAUCCCAGCACUUGGAUAGGCUGAAGCAGGAAGACCGCUUGAGGCCAGGAGUUUGAGAUCAGCCUGGAGAAUAUAAUGAGAAUCCCAUGUCUACAAAAAUAUGUAUAUAUAUUUAUUUAAAAAUUAGCUGGGUGUGGUGGCAUGCACGUGUAGUCCUACCUAUUUGGGAGACUAGCAGGAGGAUCAUAUGAGCCCAGGAGUUUGAGGUUACAGUGAGCUAUGAUCAUACCACUGCACUGUAGCCUAAGUGACAAAGUGAAACCCUGUUUCUAAAACAGAAGGAAGAAAGAAGAAGGAAGAAGAGGAAGAAGGAAGAAGAGGAAGAAGGAGAAGGAGGAGGAGGAGACUGAUUCCCCCUGCCCCCAGCUGGCAACUUUCCUGCCCCAUUCCAGCUGAAGAUUGAACUUUUAACCUCUGGAGAAGUUGAACCAGAGAGAUUUUUGUCUGAGGGUCACCACGUCCAAAUAACAGUAGGAGCAAGAAAUCUCAGUGAAAAGAGAAUGGGUCAGUAGAACUUGUAUUGAGUAGUGGGAUUCACAUCUUCCUCUCCUCCCUGGCUCUCCAAAUGCUGGUAGCUCUCCUUACCUCCACUCUCAAAAACGCAUUUCCCAUAUAUCAAGCAGGAGGUGAAAGAUGCUUCCUGUCUGGGAAAACUGACCUGCAUAAGAGAAAAUAAUUAUACAUACUGACGAUUGGAGAUGCACCAAUAAAAUGCCAAGUCAUAAACUUAUUAUUAGCCUUCACUGAAAUUCUGCCAAACACGAGAACUCCCAAUCACUUCCACUUUCCAUAAUUGGAAUGUUCCACUAAUGGAUAUCACGCAUUCAAGGAAAGCACCUAAUAUGAAAACAAAAGUACAAACAAACAAUUUUUUAAAAAAGAGAUCUUGGAGGAAACAGGGGCAAUGCAAAAAAGCUUCUAAAAGAUAUAAUUAAUAUCUU
Long non-coding RNA from Macaca mulatta (Rhesus monkey), 4137 nucleotides. Lineage: Eukaryota; Metazoa; Chordata; Mammalia; Primates; Cercopithecidae. The record is from Ensembl.